Hyaena hyaena (striped hyena) is the source of this 72-nucleotide non-coding RNA. Lineage: Eukaryota; Metazoa; Chordata; Mammalia; Carnivora; Hyaenidae. The record is from the annotation of a RefSeq genome assembly.
GCCCGGCUGGCUCAGUUGGAAGAGCACAAGACUCUUAAUCUUGGGUUGUGAGUUCAAGCCUCAUGCUGGGUA